Molecule: long non-coding RNA, 4768 nt
Organism: Ictalurus furcatus (blue catfish)
Lineage: Eukaryota; Metazoa; Chordata; Actinopteri; Siluriformes; Ictaluridae
Exons: 3
Source: RefSeq, a predicted model, not a curated record
UUGUUGAUCACAGAGAUUAUUUUUUGCAAUAAUCCAAAAGUCUACUGGAAAAUCCUAUUGGGUUUUUGUCGAGGGAACCAGUGUGAUGCUAACUUCCAGGUUCCGGUACAAAAUGACAUGCUCCGCUCUAUUGGUUGAUUUGUCUGCGUCUCUCCUCCUGUAAACACUUAUUGCCUUUUCAGCAUACGUCUGAAUUGGUUUCAUUUGGUUGUAUAUUGUUAUAUUUGAUUGCACAUUUCCAUUUGGUUGAUGGCAUAUUUAUUUUUACUUAUCCUAUAUUUUGGGUAGAAUUUUAUUUAUAUUUUGCUUCUACAAGAUGAUGCACUUUAAGGACCAGUCUAAUUUGAUGCAAAGAUUUGUACAUUAGCAGGAAUGUAGCACAACAUGGAGGUGAAAGCAGCGGUCUGUUUAUUUAAAUGUGAAAGUGCAAUAAAAAUAUGUUGUCCCUAAAAUCAAUGAAUAAUCAUGAUAAAUAAUCGUGAUCUCAAUAUUGAUCAAAAUAAUCGGAAUUAUCAUUUUGGCCAUAAUUAUGCAACCCUAUGCUCUCCGCAAAUUUAAAAUGGGGACAAUUGGACAACCUGAGAUGAAUUAACACAAAUAUGACCAAGCUUUAAUGUUGUAAAUCAGUUUUUGAGCUAAUCUCCUUCAUAAUGCUGCCCACUCACCAAAGCCCCUGGGUGUACCAGCUUUGGAAAGUGCAGGCCAAAUCUUAGGUGAGGACCUCUCCGCCACCUUCCACCACCAAACCUCUUCACACUUUGUAGACAAGGUAAUGAAUUGUUUAGCAGACUACUGUUAUACAUCUAAAAGAGGUUUUAAAUAAAUUCAAAAUUAUAAAAUAUUAAACAAUUGUUUGUCCGGAGUUGUAAAGCAGAAGCCAGUUUAACUCAAUUAAUUAUAAAAGAAAAAUAAAAGCACAAACUGUGCUUAUGACUCAUUGGUAGGCUUCGUUCACACUGUCAGUGUUUGGGAAUUAACAACCAAAUUUACUUACAGGUGUGAGUCUCGAAAUGUCCUGUUCACACAGCAGCUUACAAUAGCAUUUAGAAUUUUGUCUGUAUGAACAAGUAACCAAAGUCAAGCCUGUAUUCUAUUCAGACUAUUACCUGUAACCAUUGCAACAGUGAUGUAAUAUCAAAGAGGUCGAUGUCCAUAAAACUACAAAAGUCUUUUAAUAAUUGACACGUCUUCAUCUGUCAAAUCUUGAAUCAACAGCAGCUGGUAUCUUUUGUAGAGAGGAGUAUUUGAGUCGCACACAGACCACAAAACUGACUGGAGCAGAGAGAGUGCUUCAAAACAACCAAGCAUAUAGUUUAUCGUGGUUUGCCCUGUCAGACGCUUCGACAGAUGUAUGAGGACUUCAGACAUGUUUCCCCCAGUGUAUAACUUACAUUUGAUGGUCGUAUCCUUAUCUAAUGUUGGAAACAGAUGAAGAGAAUGGGAGCGCUAUAAUUCGGACUAAAAUAUACAUCUUGCCACAAUAUUUAUUGUUCUAGAUUGAAAUAUAUGUUUAAUAUUCUACAUGUUGUAUUUAUGAGAGCAGUAACUGUAAAGAGGGUAUACAUGUAAUAUAAUUACUAGACAUAAUUACUACAAUUAUAUUACAUGUCAUUUAAUUACUAUGUUAGAGCAAUCUUAUUUUUUCUUUUCAUUAGAGCAGAGUAUUUGUCUCAUUGCUUACCUGAUGAAGCCAUUUACCUUUUGUUAUUCUUUUGAGCUGAAUACCUCCCUCUAGUGUUGCAUACCAGUCACUGCUCCUAGAUGAUACCUGUACCGUCCCUUUUAAAAGGAUGUGGUAGACUGAAAAGACUGCCUUUCAGUAAAAGCAAACAGUUUUUAACCGCAUGGCAUGUGGAUGUUUCACUUGAUUUAUUGUUUUAUUACUAAUGCUGUAAAACUUCAUGCAGACUUGUGGAACUUGCGUUUGUCAAAAGGAAUUAUAUUUCUGUUGUGUUGAAGUUGUGUUGUGCUCAAUCUACAUGAAGCGAGUUGACUGGAUACUGGCUGGCACAUACUAUAUUCAUUUACUGUAUUCAGAUAAGUGAAUGUGUGUGUUCUUCAUACCAGUUAACAUUUAGUCUGUGCUUUUGUUUUUCUUUAUCAUUUUUAAUCUUUUUUUUAAUUUUUUUAUUUAUGCUUUAAAACGGUGGGCAAACAGUUGUUUUUGUUUUAGAAUAUAAUGUUUAUAUUUUAACCCUGUUUUUGCAAAUGUGUAGCAUAGCCUAUAUAAAUACAUUCAUUAUAAUUGUUUUGUUUGACUUUAGUUUUCACAUUGUUUGGAGGACAUAUAUCAAUCUGAUUUAAUCAGCACAGCCAUGUAGUAUCUAGUAGAGAGGUUAUUGACUAUGUUGUGUACAUGUUGCUACAUUGUACAUGUUCAUUGUCAUUAAUUUGGGGUUGAUAGCCCAAUGUUGUUUGUGAGAAAUAAGUAUUUUUGCCCACAAUAACUUGUAAAUGUUUUCCUUAUAAAAUGCUCUAAAAAUGCUAAAAUGCUUAUCUUUUUCCAUUUCUUUUCUUCAAACACCUUAGGAGAUGGUUCAUCCUAAAAUGCACAGAUCAUCAUCAUCCCCAUACCUGUGUCCCGUCUGGCAAUCCAUAACCAGCUGUGCACCUUGUCUAUUACAAAUGUUAUGGAUUUUUGUUCUAAUAGAGCUCAUUGUAAUCUUUGAGACUGGUAUUGUGGAGAGGCUGUUAUAUUGUGAAAAAAGUCACAAAGAUCACCCAUCACGGUCUUGUGAAGCAUUUGACCUUAUUUGUGACUAUAUUCACCGUUAUGCUUUCAGUGGUUACUAUAUUACAGUGUCCUUAAUUUUUUACUAUUUAAAAGUUGUUUUAAAGUUUAUUACAGGCUCAAUAUAUUUUCUUUUCUUUCAAUAGAAGAUAAAGGCCUGGUUUCACAGACAGGGUUUACAUUAAGCCAGGGUUAGGCCUUCAAUCAAUUAAGACAAGUAGCUUUUAAGUAGCUUUUAUAAACGUGCCUUAGAAAAAAAAUAUAUUACUGGUGCGCAUCUUGAGACAAAACGAUGGCACAGACAUAUUUUAAGAUAUGUCAGUGCAAGUUACUUUCAGUUAAAACAGCUCAAACAUGCAUUUUAGUCUGGGACUAGGCUUAAGCCUUGUUUGUGAAACCAGGGGAAAGUGUCAUAAUCAAUCCUGUGAUUUGUGCAGUGAUGAGCUGGAGAUCAACAUCAUAGCUGUGCUGUAUUUUAGGUAUAGCCAUUGAACACUUUGUUUUAUAAAUUAAAAAGUUAGUAUCAUUAAUGCUGUGAGGCAAUAUGAAUCAAAUGAAUCAUUUAUAUAGUGUGCUUUCUCCACAGACUUCUUUCUCAUUAAAUUAAACAUCUACAAAGGUUUUCUGUGCCAUUGCUCAUUGGCGUUUGUAAGCAUUAUUAUUUGGAAAACAAAAAUUGUAUGAAAAUGGCUAGGUGCGUAUUACACCAUUUUAAUGCAUGGCAUCAAAAAACCACCUGACACAAAGCAGUGGAUCACCCCUUAUAUAGACCAUGUCUAUGUCAGUAUAAAUUGAAUUGUUAUUCCAAUCACCAAGCUUGUAAUGUUAUACACACAUGAAAUUCUAAGCAGCAGUCAAGCAUGGUAGGCUAAAGAAGGGUCUAAUUUAUUAUGCUCUAUGCAAAAUAUGACACAAUAAAUGUGAACCACACAUAUAACUAUAAUAAGCAGUUAGAAUUGCAGUUAGCAUGAAACCUUAAAUGUACAGCUGGGCUGGCAAUUUGUUUUUGUAUGCAUGUGUAUAAAUAAUAUUUUUUUUUUUCUAUUACAGAGGGAUCAAGCAAACAGAGGGAUAGAUGGACAAGCAAACAGAUUUAAAGGCUGUUAUGAAUGAUGGGUUACAGAAAAGUGUUCCUAUGUUUGUUUAUUAUUAUUUUAAGUUAUAUAUUCUGAUUUGUAACCAAGAUUAUGAAGUCACCUUUUUCUAAACAUUUUAGAGCAUUAUUAAAAAGUCCAUGUACACAGUGCUUAUCCCGAGUGCUUUUUUGAUGUAUUCUAUUAUCCUGCGCAAAGCAAAAAUAUUAAUAUAGUAAGAGGUGUCAUGACCCUCUUCCAGUCCAAGUAUACUGCAAAACCGAGUCAAAAUUCUUGUGUUCUGGAUUUUUUCAGCGAUAUUUGGGAAGUUCUUAUUAACAUUUUUAGUCUUUCAGUGUGUUUAUUUCAGCGCAGGUUCUUUUGAAAUACUGCUCGGCCAAGUCCCUGGAAAACGGAGGAUCUCAGAUCUCAGCUUUGGAGUGUGAUAGGACAAAACUAAGUGUGUGGCCCUCUGAAGCUGGCAAAAGACCUGAUCCUUCCUAGAAGAAAUGGCAUGACCUGUUUAAAAGGAUAGAUAAAUGUCAAGCAAUAUAUAAGAGGUGCAUCACAUACACAUCCCCCCAGACCUACCUGAGAGGGCCAGACCAAAGUGUGCACCCCAGAAACAGCUGCUUCCUCGACCUCCAGGCAUCAUGGAGCCAGCCCAUGUUAAUCCCAUUGGGCCCAGCACUUUUGUCAUGCUUGUUCCCCAUUCUAACCCCACAUUAGAGUGUGUGUUCAAUGUGUUUUUGGUCUCUGGACCCUCAGCCACCACCACUCCCCAGCCCAGCAGCACUCCACACCAGCUUCUGCCGUACAACCACAUGUGCCACGUCAACCAUAUGCCCACAGUAUAUUAGAAGAAUGGAGGCCAAUACUUGCAAAAAACUGUGGUCACUACAGGACAGCAGAGACAUAGCCAAAACAGGGGCACUAUUUACUGUUAAACACCGAGACUUUAACA